Molecule: ribosomal RNA, 460 nt
Filed under: uncultured bacterium
Lineage: Bacteria
Description: partial 16S ribosomal RNA
Rfam family: Bacterial small subunit ribosomal RNA
Source: RNAcentral
CCUACGUGAGGCAGCAGUGAGGAAUAUUGGUCAAUGGACGAGAGUCUGAACCAGCCAAGUCGCGUGAAGGAUGACUGCCCUAUGGGUUGUAAACUUCUUUUAUAAAGGAAUAAAACGAGGCACGUGUGCCUUUUUGCAUGUACUUUAUGAAUAAGGAUCGGCUAACUCCGUUCCAGCAGCCGCGGUAAUAUGGAGGAUCCGAGCGUUAUCUGGAUUUAUUUGGUUUAAAGGGAGCGUAGAUGGGUUGUUAAGUCAGUUGUGAAAGUUUGCGGCUCAACCGUAAAAUUGCAAUUGAUACUGGCAGUCUUGAGUACAGUGGAGGUAAGCAGAAGUCGUGGUGUAGCGGUGAAAUGCUUAGAGAUCACGAAGAACCCCGAUUGCGAAGGCAGCUUACUAAACUGUGACUGACAUUGAUGCUCGAAAGUGUGGGUAUCAAACAGGAUUAGAUACCCGUGUAGUC